UACGGAGGGUGCAAGCGUUGUCCGGAUUUAUUGGGUUUAAAGGGUGCGUAGGCGGUUCUUUAAGUCCGGGGUGAAAGCCCACUGCUCAACAGUGGAACUGCCCUGGAAACUGGAGAACUUGAGUGCAGACGAGGGCGGCGGAAUGGAUGGUGUAGCGGUGAAAUGCAUAGAUACCAUCCAGAACCCCGAUUGCGAAGGCAGCUGCCUAGACUGUAACUGACGCUGAGGCACGAAAGCGUGGGGAGCGAACAGG
RNAcentral lists this ribosomal RNA (253 nucleotides) under uncultured bacterium. RNAcentral's name for it is "partial 16S ribosomal RNA". It matches the Rfam family "Bacterial small subunit ribosomal RNA", at positions 524 to 776 of the family's 1533-position model. The record is from RNAcentral.